CCAGACUCCUACGGGAGGCAGCAGUGAGGAAUAUUGGUCAAUGGGCGCGAGCCUGAACCAGCCAAGUCGCGUGAGGGAUGACGGUCCUACGGAUUGUAAACCUCUUUUGCCGGGGAGCAAGCGUGCGUUCGUGAACGCGCGUCGAGAGUACCCGGAGAAAAAGCAUCGGCUAACUCCGUGCCAGCAGCCGCGGUAAUACGGAGGAUGCGAGCGUUAUCCGGAUUUAUUGGGUUUAAAGGGUGCGUAGGCGGAAGGUUAAGUCAGGGGUGAAAUGUCGGGGCUCAACACCGGCCUGCCGUUGAAACUGGUCUUCUUGAGUGAGCGAGAAGUAUGCGGAAUGCGUGGUGUAGCGGUGAAAUGCAUAGAUAUCACGCAGAACUCCGAUUGCGAAGGCGGCAUACCGGCGCUCAACUGACGCUGAGGCACGAAAGCGUGGGGAUCGAACAGGAUUAGAUACCCUGGUAAA
This 466-nucleotide ribosomal RNA is filed under the name uncultured bacterium. RNAcentral describes it as "bacterial SSU rRNA". It matches the Rfam family "Bacterial small subunit ribosomal RNA", at positions 331 to 794 of the family's 1533-position model. The record is from RNAcentral.